GCCCAUAAAUGGACAUACCAAAAGCCACCACAUUCUCACAGUGUUUUUCAGCCUUCCUGGAACCAGGAAAUACCAGGAAUUUCUUCAAGGAACCUGUUCCCAAACUGUACUAAAGUCCUCGACACAUUUAGCAUUUGAGUGGAGUUUAGAAGCAUGACUAAGGUCCCAUCUCCAGUGCACGACCGAGUGUUGCUCCUGCGUGGCAAACAACUUGUUGCAGUCACUGCUGCUAGUUCAGCACUUCUCUCUGCCAGUUCGAGCCCACAGCCCCAGAGCACCAAAAAUGGGUCAAUUCUGAAAAUUCCCCCCGGAAACCUCUGGCUCUGUAUUGUUGAAGCAUUCCUCUGCCCCAGUCUGUUACUGGGGCAGUGCCAAAUGCAGGAGUAUUUAUGUUUGCUUAAUGGCUUCGUUUACACAAGAUGCUCCCUGCUGUUCACUGAUCCAAGGACAGGUACGGCCCAGAUGACCUCUGCAGCUGCCCUCCGCCAUCACACAGCUCCAGCCCCAGGUGGAGAGCCUGGCAAGAGGAGAAGACUGGCAAAAGAACAGAAAACAGAUCAGCUAAACAGGUCAAAUCCCACUGGAACUACCUGCAAGUCACAGGAUGAGAUGUCACAGAUCCCCUUUCUUUCCUGCUCUGGGGUGCUCCUGUGCUUUGAAUUGGUAUCGGGCAGCGCAAGAGGAGCACCAUGCAGACACUUGCUGUGGACUUCCCAAUGGCAUCCAUGCUGAAGGAACAGAUCACAUCAAUAUAUCACAGUAAUUUUCACCAGCAGGUACCUGGG
Calypte anna (Anna's hummingbird) is the source of this 785-nucleotide long non-coding RNA. RefSeq lists it as uncharacterized. The transcript is spliced from 3 exons. NCBI's taxonomy places the organism in Eukaryota, Metazoa, Chordata, Aves, Apodiformes, Trochilidae. The record is from RefSeq and is a predicted model, not a curated record.